CCCAGGUAUGGGGAGAUAGCCGUCCACACCCCGAUGCUUCCCCUCCGCAGGCGCUGGCCAAUGGCAAGCUCGAUGUGGAAGAGGGGGAUCCCCUCGAAGACCAGCGCGAUGAGGGGUCCGCCAUCCUCACAGGAGAGCAGGAGGACUCGCUAUAUACGGCAAGCAGUUGCGGAGCCCGCUGGCCCCAGGGAGACUGAAUGGAGCACAGGGCUUCUGUGUGAGUGACUGCGCCACUCCAGCCGCCCACGGGCGUCUGCUACAGAGAAGUCCAUGCCCACUCACCAUGCAGGCUGCUUUGGUUCAGAGUGCUAAGAGUAAAUAAACACCUCCUGCUGAGGGA
This is a long non-coding RNA of Cavia porcellus (domestic guinea pig), 340 nucleotides long. RefSeq lists it as uncharacterized. Lineage: Eukaryota; Metazoa; Chordata; Mammalia; Rodentia; Caviidae. The record is from RefSeq and is a predicted model, not a curated record. The transcript is spliced from 2 exons.